RNAcentral lists this long non-coding RNA (1282 nucleotides) under Sus scrofa (pig). RNAcentral's name for it is "lncRNA (ENSSSCG00015018170.1)". The record is from RNAcentral. Lineage: Eukaryota; Metazoa; Chordata; Mammalia; Artiodactyla; Suidae.
AUGAAGAAUUUUGUGGGGAUACGAUCUUCCUUGCUUUUCUGCAUGAUUUUGGCUUUUUCUGAGCAAGAGUCAGUGUCCACAGGAUGUACUACCUCUACCUUCCAGGCUGUGGUUCCACCGACUCUGCUUGGUCAAGAUCGCUUCUUACAUUCUGAUGAAGUGUCUCUGGGAACUGGCUGUCCUGUAACUAACAUAACUGAGAAGGGGUAUGAGUUUAAUUAUCUUGUCACCGAGUGUGGGAUUCAGAAAGAGGUAAGAAGAACUGUGACCAUUUCAAAAUAACAAACUAACCUGCCCCCCCCCCCCACCAAAUAAUCUUGCUGUGGCCACUGUGCUUAAGUCAGUGCAAGGCCAGAGAUCUCAUUUUUAUGACACUUGGGUUUGGUACUUUUAGGAUGGGAAGACCAAUGCGACCCAGGAAUUGGCCUUGAAGAGCUCUCGGCCCAUUAGGAGACAGUGCAGUGUCAUAUAUUUUAUUAUGACUUUUCAAGCACUCAUAAAUCUUUGGUCCUUAGAUCUCCUAGAAACACCAAAAAAAAAAAUAUCAUUUCCAGUUUUCAUGUUAAUACCUGAGCCUAAAAAUGCUGGCAGUUUACCACAGGUCAUGGAGCUCUCCAGCAGAAGGACUGAAAUUUAGAUAUUGGUAACUACAGAUUUACAUUCUUUUGAAGAAGGCAAUGGGAAAUUGUGGAUCACAAUAUAUUUUAGAGAUGGAAAACACUGGGAGGAUUCAGAGGAUGGAAAGAUUAGUGAAAGUUGGAUUAGAGGUGAAUUUUCUGGUACCUUGUUGGUAAUUUUUACAUCUCCAUGAAUGAGUUUGGGCUAUAAUUGCCCUUUCUAAUAUGCUUUAUCAUGUUUUGGAGUAGUUUGAGUAAGAUUUUUUGGUAUUUAUUUUUCUUUUUGGUUAUCUAACUAGAAUGAAGUUGAGUCCUAGUUGUUUUAAUACAACUGUGGAGUGGGAAGAGAGCUAGGGAAUGAAUCCAGGUUUCCUGACAAGAACUUUCAAAUGACUCAAUGCUGACCUUUGGUGGAGAAUGAAAAAGUGGGCUCUGCAUUUUAACAUGCAGUGGUUUUACACCGUGAGCUCGUGAGAAAUAUUGAGUGGAGAAUAACUCCAUGAUCUAUUGAGGGCAUGUGUGUGUGUGAGCCUGCUAUACAAACAGUUCUAGUUUCCUUCCAUAUACUUUCACAUCCACAAAACAUAUUGAUUCAACUUCUUUUUUGGAAGUUUGCAUAUUUCUAUUUUUUUUUUUUUGGUUUUAUGAACCUUUCCCACAUUUCA